Long non-coding RNA from Chelonia mydas (Green sea turtle), 149 nucleotides. RefSeq lists it as uncharacterized. The transcript has 3 exons. The record is from RefSeq and is a predicted model, not a curated record. NCBI's taxonomy places the organism in Eukaryota, Metazoa, Chordata, Testudines, Cheloniidae.
AGGAGUCAUGACUCCUAACCAGGGACGGCUCUAGCAAUUUUGCCACCACAAGCAGUCGCUGCUGAAUUGCCGCCGUGGGACACGGAGUGCCGCCCCAUUCUAAUUGCCGCCCCAAGCACCUGCUUGGAAAGCUGGUGCCUGGAGCCGGC